Molecule: ribosomal RNA, 253 nt
Filed under: uncultured bacterium
Lineage: Bacteria
Description: partial 16S ribosomal RNA
Rfam family: Bacterial small subunit ribosomal RNA
Source: RNAcentral
UACGGGGGGGGCAAGCGUUGUUCGGAAUUACUGGGCGUAAAGGGCUCGUAGGCGGCCAACUAAGUCGGAUGUGAAACCCCCAGGCUUAACCUGGGAACUGCAUCCGAUACUGGAUGGCUUGAAUCCGGGAGAGGGAUGCAGAAUUCCAGGUGUAGCGGUGAAAUGCGUAGAUAUCUGGAGGAAUACCGGUGGCGAAGGCGGCAUCCUGGACCGGCAUUGACGCUGAGGAGCGAAAGCUAGGGGAGCAAACGGG